Molecule: ribosomal RNA, 253 nt
Filed under: uncultured bacterium
Lineage: Bacteria
Description: partial 16S ribosomal RNA
Rfam family: Bacterial small subunit ribosomal RNA
Source: RNAcentral
UACGGAGGGGGCGAGCGUUAUUCGGAAUUAUUGGGCGUAAAGGGCGCGUAGGCGGCUUGAUAAGUCAAAGGUGAAAUCCCUCGGCUCAACUGAGGAACUGCCUUUGAAACUGUCAGACUUGAGGCCGGGAGGGGGUAGCGGAAUUCCCAGUGUAGCGGUGAAAUGCGUAGAUACUGGGAGGAACACCGGUGGCGAAGGCGGCUACCUGGACCGGUUCUGACGCUGAUGCGCGAAAGCGUGGGGAGCAAACAGG